ACGGACCAAGGAGUCUAACGCACGCGCGAGUCAAAGGGUGUCUCCGAGCCCCCACGGCGCAAUGAAGGUGAAGGCCGGCGCUUGCCGGCCCAGGUGGGAUCCGCCCGGCGGGGGGCGCACCACCGGCCCGUCUCCGCGCACCGCCGGGCAGGUGGAGCUAGAGCGCGCGCGGUGGUG
Molecule: ribosomal RNA, 177 nt
Filed under: Cyprinus carpio (common carp)
Lineage: Eukaryota; Metazoa; Chordata; Actinopteri; Cypriniformes; Cyprinidae
Description: partial ribosomal RNA
Source: RNAcentral